RNAcentral lists this ribosomal RNA (292 nucleotides) under uncultured bacterium. RNAcentral describes it as "partial 16S ribosomal RNA". It matches the Rfam family "Bacterial small subunit ribosomal RNA", at positions 505 to 796 of the family's 1533-position model. The record is from RNAcentral.
GUGUCAGCAGCCGCGGUAAGACGUAGGGUGCAAGCGUUGUCCGGAUUUAUUGGGCGUAAAGAGCUCGUAGGCGGCUUGUUGCGUCGACCGUGAAAACCUACCGCUUAACGGUGGGCUUGCGGUCGAUACGGGCAGGCUAGAGUUCGGUAGGGGAGACUGGAAUUCCUGGUGUAGCGGUGAAAUGCGCAGAUAUCAGGAGGAACACCGGUGGCGAAGGCGGGUCUCUGGGCCGAUACUGACGCUGAGGAGCGAAAGCGUGGGGAGCAAACAGGAUUAGAUACCCUGGUAGUCC